RNAcentral lists this ribosomal RNA (57 nucleotides) under Pewenomyces kalosus. RNAcentral's name for it is "partial 28S ribosomal RNA". The record is from RNAcentral. Lineage: Eukaryota; Fungi; Ascomycota; Eurotiomycetes; Coryneliales; Coryneliaceae.
GUUGGACCUCGGAUCAGGUAGGGAUACCCGCUGAACUUAAGCAUAUCAAUAAGCGGA